ACUCCUACGGGAGGCAGCAGUAGGGAAUCUUCCACAAUGGGCGCAAGCCUGAUGGAGCAACACCGCGUGAGUGAAGAAGGGUUUCGGCUCGUAAAGCUCUGUCGUUAAAGAAGAACACGUAUGAGAGUAACUGUUCAUACGUUGACGGUAUUUAACCAGAAAGUCACGGCUAACUACGUGCCAGCAGCCGCGGUAAUACGUAGGUGGCAAGCGUUAUCCGGAUUUAUUGGGCGUAAAGAGAGUGCAGGCGGUUUUCUAAGUCUGAUGUGAAAGCCUUCGGCUUAACCGGAGAAGUGCAUCGGAAACUGGAUAACUUGAGUGCAGAAGAGGUAGUGGAACUCCAUGUGUAGCGGUGGAAUGCGUAGAUAUAUGGAAGAACACCAGUGGCGAAGGCGGCUACCUGGUCUGCAACUGACGCUGAGACUCGAAAGCAUGGGUAGCGAACAGGAUUAGAUACCCCGU
This 462-nucleotide ribosomal RNA is filed under the name uncultured bacterium. RNAcentral describes it as "bacterial SSU rRNA". It matches the Rfam family "Bacterial small subunit ribosomal RNA", at positions 335 to 790 of the family's 1533-position model. The record is from RNAcentral.